CAGUGGGUAGCUAGUGACUCACCCUCCAGGUAAAGACAUUUUUCCGGAUUUCGGAAAAAUGUCUUUACCUGGAGGGUGAGGAGUCUUUACCUGGAGGGUGAGGACAUUUUUCCGAAAUCCGGAAAAAAUGUCUUUACCUGGAGGGUGAGUCACUAGCUACCCACUG
Molecule: non-coding RNA, 166 nt
Organism: Podarcis lilfordi (Lilford's wall lizard)
Lineage: Eukaryota; Metazoa; Chordata; Lepidosauria; Squamata; Lacertidae
Source: the annotation of a GenBank genome assembly